Gordionus sp. m RMFG-2023 is the source of this 355-nucleotide long non-coding RNA. RefSeq lists it as uncharacterized. The transcript has 3 exons. NCBI's taxonomy places the organism in Eukaryota, Metazoa, Nematomorpha, Gordioida, Chordodea, Parachordodidae. The record is from RefSeq and is a predicted model, not a curated record.
CUUUUUUGUUAGGAAGAUUAAAUUUCUAUGAACCCAACCAUGAUAUUUAAAGUUCAAUUAGUUUUUCUCCUGGUGUUGUUGGGUCAUGAAUUCACGGAUGCAAGUUUAGAAAUCUUCGAAAUAUGCGCCACGGUUGAAGGAGACGAAUUAUAUAUAAACAUCAUAGAUUUCUAUGAAUAUAAUGUUUAUAUGAAUGAUCCCGUACAAAGACCUAUAUUUGUGGGUACUAAAUUAGUCUAUGGUUAUAUCAAUGAAUCAAGAAAACUUAACAUUGGAUCCAACAAAAUUCCUUUCAAGCCCUCUAUAAUAGGAAACAGUAUUGUGUUUCAUUAGUUCUAGUGAUUAUUAUUUGAAC